GUGUUCGGAUUGCGGCGACGUGGGCGGUCCGCCGCCCGCGACGUCGCAAGAAGUCCACUGAACCUUAUCAUUUAGAGGAAGGAGAAGUCGUAACAAGGUUUCCGUAGGUGAACCUGCGGAAGGAUCAUUGUCGCAUCCUGCAAACGACCGCGAACACGUUUUAUAAAACCCCGCGGGCCUCGGUCUCGGCCGUCGCCCGCGCCCAACUAAACUUCCGGCGCGGAAAGCGCCAAGGACUACUCAAACGGAUCGUCCGYGUCCCCCGGCGGCUUCCGCCGGGCGGGUGCGGCGCGUCUGAAAUCGUAUAACCAAUACGACUCUCGGCAACGGAUAUCUAGGCUCUCGCAUCGAUGAAGAACGUAGCGAAAUGCGAUACUUGGUGUGAAUUGCAGAAUCCCGUGAACCAUCGAGUUUUUGAACGCAAGUUGCGCCCGAAGCCAUUAGGCCGAGGGCACGCCUGCCUGGGCGUCACGCAUCGUCGCCACCCCCAACGCCAUUCGCCUUGCGGGGUGACGGAAGUUGGCCUCCCGUGCCCUCGAGGCGCGGCCGGCCUAAAUGCGAGUCCUCCGUCCGGAGACGUCACGACUAGUGGUGGUUGAAAACCUCUUCCCGAUCGAAGUCGUGGCCCUUUGCCGGCGCGGAUUGCUCUCAAAGACCCUAGUGCCUUCAUAACAAGGCCCUCGACCAUGACCC
This 693-nucleotide unclassified non-coding RNA is filed under the name Cordylostigma virgatum. RNAcentral's name for it is "Cordylostigma virgata sequence contains ITS1, 5.8S rRNA gene, ITS2". The stretch from base 316 to 471 matches the Rfam family "5.8S ribosomal RNA". The record is from RNAcentral. Lineage: Eukaryota; Viridiplantae; Streptophyta; Magnoliopsida; Gentianales; Rubiaceae.